CGCUGGCGGCAUGCCUUGCACAUGCAAGUCGAACGGCAGCGCGGGGCAACCUGGCGGCGAGUGGCGAACGGGUGAGUAAUAUAUCGGAACGUACCCUGGAGUGGGGGAUAACGUAGCGAAAGUUACGCUAAUACCGCAUACGAUCUAAGGAUGAAAGUGGGGGAUGCGCAAGCACCUCAUGCUCCUGGAGCGGCCGAUAUCUGAUUAGCUAGUUGGUGGGGUAAAGGCCUACCAAGGCAUCGAUCAGUAGCUGGUCUGAGAGGACGACCAGCCACACUGGAACUGAGACACGGUCCAGACUCCUACGGGAGGCAGCAGUGGGGAAUUUUGGACAAUGGGCGAAAGCCUGAUCCAGCAAUGCCGCGUGAGUGAAGAAGGCCUUCGGGUUGUAAAGCUCUUUUGUCAGGGAAGAAACGGUGGAGGCUAAUAUCCUCUGCUAAUGACGGUACCUGAAGAAUAAGCACCGGCUAACUACGUGCCAGCAGCCGCGGUAAUACGUAGGGUGCAAGCGUUAAUCGGAAUUACUGGGCGUAAAGCGUGCGCAGGCGGUUUUGUAAGUCUGUCGUGAAAUCCCCGGGCUCAACCUGGGAAUUGCGAUGGAGACUGCAAGGCUAGAAUCUGGCAGAGGGGGGUAGAAUUCCACGUGUAGCAGUGAAAUGCGUAGAGAUGUGGAGGAACACCGAUGGCGAAGGCAGCCCCCUGGGUCAAGAUUGACGCUCAUGCACGAAAGCGUGGGGA
This 738-nucleotide ribosomal RNA is filed under the name uncultured soil bacterium. Its description in RNAcentral is "bacterial SSU rRNA". It matches the Rfam family "Bacterial small subunit ribosomal RNA", at positions 34 to 767 of the family's 1533-position model. The record is from RNAcentral.